AGCGAACGUUGGCGGCGCGCCUAAUACAUGCAAGUCGAACGCGAAAAGUCUUCGGACUGAGUAGAGUGGCGUACGGGUGAGUAUCACGUGAGUAAUCUGCCCUCGGGCUUGGGAUAACCCGCCGAAAGGUGGGCUAAUACCAGAUGAGACCACGGCCUCUUCGGAGGCAGUGAGAAAAGAUGGGGACCGGAAACGGCCUGUCACCGGAGGAUGAGCUCGCGGCCUAUCAGCUUGUUGGUGGGGUAAUGGCCUACCAAGGCUACGACGGGUAGCUGGUCUGAGAGGAUGAUCAGCCACACUGGAACUGAGACACGGUCCAGACUCCUACGGGAGGCAGCAGUAGGGAAUCUUGCGCAAUGGGCGAAAGCCUGACGCAGCGACGCCGCGUGUGCGAUGAAGGCCCUUGGGUCGUAAAGCACUGUCAACAGGGACGAAAACUCGUCGGUUAAUACCCGAUGGGCUUGACGGUACCUGUAGAGGAAGCACCGGCUAACUCUGUGCCAGCAGCCGCGGUAAUACAGAGGGUGCAAACGUUGCUCGGAAUUACUGGGCGUAAAGAGCG
RNAcentral lists this ribosomal RNA (562 nucleotides) under uncultured Pseudomonadota bacterium. RNAcentral describes it as "bacterial SSU rRNA". It matches the Rfam family "Bacterial small subunit ribosomal RNA", at positions 28 to 569 of the family's 1533-position model. Lineage: Bacteria; Pseudomonadati; Pseudomonadota. The record is from RNAcentral.